CUGGGAUAUCAUCAUAUACUGUAAGUUUGUGAUGAGACACUACAGUAUAGAUGAUGUACUAGUC
RNAcentral lists this microRNA precursor (64 nucleotides) under Balaenoptera musculus (blue whale). RNAcentral describes it as "microRNA 144 (ENSBMSG00010020179.1)". It matches the Rfam family "mir-144 microRNA precursor family", at positions 8 to 69 of the family's 78-position model. The record is from RNAcentral. Lineage: Eukaryota; Metazoa; Chordata; Mammalia; Artiodactyla; Balaenopteridae.